RNAcentral lists this ribosomal RNA (440 nucleotides) under uncultured bacterium. Its description in RNAcentral is "partial 16S ribosomal RNA". It matches the Rfam family "Bacterial small subunit ribosomal RNA", at positions 338 to 795 of the family's 1533-position model. The record is from RNAcentral.
CCUACGGGUGGCAGCAGUAGGGAAUAUUGCUCAAUGGGGGAAACCCUGAAGCAGCAACGCCGCGUGGAGGAUGAAGGUUUUCGGAUUGUAAACUCCUUUUGUUAGAGAAGAUAAUGACGGUAUCUAACGAAUAAGCACCGUCUAACUCCGUGCCAGCAGCCGCGGCAAUACGGCGGGUGCAAGCGUUACUCGGAAUCACUGGGCGUAAAGAGCGCGUAGGCGGGAUAGCAAGUCAGAUGUGAAAUCCUAUGGCUUAACCAUAGAACUGCAAUUGAAACUGUUAUUCUAGAGUAUGGGAGAGGUAGGUGGAAUUCGUGGUGGAGGGGUAAAAUGCGUAGAGAUCAAGAGGAAUACUGAUUGCGAAGGCGACCUGCUAGAACAUAACUGACGCUGAUGCGCGAAAGCGUGGGGAGCAAACAGGAUUAGAUACCCGGGUAGUC